This is a non-coding RNA of Salmo salar (Atlantic salmon), 400 nucleotides long. Lineage: Eukaryota; Metazoa; Chordata; Actinopteri; Salmoniformes; Salmonidae. The record is from RefSeq and is a predicted model, not a curated record.
GGAAGAGACCCUCUGGAGUUGCUGCUGUGUGUCUGGGGCUGCUGUGUGUUCUCCUACUGGCUGGGAUCAUAGGCCUGUCUGUCUACUAUGGAGUCAUUGGUCAUCACAACUUAACAGAGAGAAACCAGCUACUGGUCAGUUACAGCAAUCUGACUAAAGAGAGAGACCAGCUACGGACCAGUUAUAACAACCUGACUAAAGAGCGAGACCAGCUACAGACUGAGAGAGAUUUUCUUAGCGGGAGGUUUUCCAAUUGCAAACAAACCUGUUCUGAAGGCUGGCAGAAGUUUCAAUCCAGUUGGUACUUCCUGUCUACUGAGACUAAAACCUGGGAGGAGAGCAGAGAGGACUGUCUGAAGAGAGGAGCAGACCUGGUGAUCAUAAACAGUGAUAAGGAACA